UACGUAGGGGGCGAGCGUUAUCCGGAUUUAUUGGGCGUAAAGAGCGUGUAGGCGGCCAGGUAGGUCUGCUGUGAAAACUCGAGGCUCAACCUCGAGACGUCGGCGGAAACCAUCUGGCUAGAGUCCGGAAGAGGAGAGUGGAAUUCCUGGUGUAGCGGUGAAAUGCGCAGAUAUCAGGAGGAACACCAAUUGCGAAGGCAGCUCGCUGGGACGUAACUGACGCUGAGACGCGAAAGCGUGGGGAGCAAACAGG
RNAcentral lists this ribosomal RNA (253 nucleotides) under uncultured bacterium. RNAcentral describes it as "partial 16S ribosomal RNA". It matches the Rfam family "Bacterial small subunit ribosomal RNA", at positions 524 to 776 of the family's 1533-position model. The record is from RNAcentral.